RNAcentral lists this long non-coding RNA (562 nucleotides) under Phaseolus vulgaris (common bean). RNAcentral describes it as "long non-coding RNA (PVUL_LNC004499)". The record is from RNAcentral. Lineage: Eukaryota; Viridiplantae; Streptophyta; Magnoliopsida; Fabales; Fabaceae.
CCUUUUUGCGUUUUGGCGUGCACGAUACAGUGAAGUUGACGAAAAGGAAAGUCCGAUGGUGGCGAGCGCGGGACGCGUUGGCUAGGGAAAGACGUUGGCUGGUGCGACGGAGGAGGCCAGCGAGUGAUGCGACAUGCGAAGGAGGCUAGCGACUGGUGUCACACGCGAAGGAGGCUGGCGGCGGUUGCAACAACUGAACGAACUUGCUUUGUAGCAUAUCUGGUUUGUGAGGAGAUGGAACAAGGGAGGGUCGCGCCAGGAGCUGGGACGAAACAAGGGAGGGUUGCGACGGGAGUUGGAACGAAGCUCGUGGUUGCGGCGAGAGCUAUGGUCUGGCGGAGCGGCGACUGCUCAUGGCGACGCGGUCAAAGGAGGUGGUGUAGCUAGCGGUGACUGUGGGUGAGGAAAGAGUUAAAAUAAGUGAGGAAAGAGAGAAUGCAAUGAGUGAGUCCGAAAAUGAGUUUUGGUGAAAAUGAGUGAGGGAAAGAGAGAGUUUGGGGGCGCACAAGUUUUUUUUCUUCUCUGAAAUAGAUCAUUAACGACGAUUCUUUAUAGAACCGUC